ACACAUUCCUUUUUUUGCACUGCUCUCUAAUGGAAAUUAACUAGUAGCAGUUGCAGAGCGUUCAGAUGAUAGCUUUAAUCUCAAAAAUAAUUGUAUUUAGUUUGUGUCUCUGACCCACAACCGCAAAGAAGAAGAUGUAUCCACACACGUAGAGACAGCUCUACUGUUUUCGCCCACAUAUGAUAUAGAUAUUUGAUCAUUAUCUUAGAUCUAUAGACACAGAG
Molecule: unclassified non-coding RNA, 224 nt
Filed under: Hevea brasiliensis (rubber tree)
Lineage: Eukaryota; Viridiplantae; Streptophyta; Magnoliopsida; Malpighiales; Euphorbiaceae
Source: RNAcentral